CUACCUGAGAAGCCCAGGUCCAGCAGCACCGCGCGGCGACGGUCGCGGACGCUGCUGAUCUGCUGGAAGCGCACGUCGAGCAGCAGGAACGCGACGCAGGCGAAGAAGGCCCCAAGGCCGAGCGCGACGCCGAAGCGGCAGGCACCAGCGUUGCCGUUGAAGACGCAGCGCAGCUCCGGGCCGCUGUCGGCGUUCACGUAGCCCUCGUUGACUAUGGGCCCGAAGACGGCGAUGGAGAACACCUGUGGGCGGUGGGAGCACUCAAGGCCCUGCGAUGGCCCCUUCCUGGUCGAGGCCCGAGGUCUCCUAGCCCACCCCCCAGCUCCUAGAGACUUAGUCAAGAGUGAAACCAAGGUGCAAGAUAUGGACACGUACCCACAGAUUGGUCCACAAGUCAGGUCAAAGCUGGGACCAGAAUGUAGGGUCCCUACUUCCUGGUCUGGCCAGAGUCACUCCACCCAAGGGCCCCUGCCCCACUCUGGGCACCGCCCUCCUGGAACACAGGACAUUGAGGAAAGUCUGCAUUUGUUGAGCAUUUACAGUGCCAGGUGUUUCACCACGACCUGUGGAGGCAGAGACUGUUUUACUGCCAUUCUUCAGAUGGGGUCACGGGUUCGAGCCCUGGUCUGGGAAGAUCCCAC
Long non-coding RNA from Delphinapterus leucas (beluga whale), 641 nucleotides. RefSeq lists it as uncharacterized. The record is from RefSeq and is a predicted model, not a curated record. NCBI's taxonomy places the organism in Eukaryota, Metazoa, Chordata, Mammalia, Artiodactyla, Monodontidae.